This 256-nucleotide ribosomal RNA is filed under the name uncultured prokaryote. Its description in RNAcentral is "partial 16S ribosomal RNA". It matches the Rfam family "Bacterial small subunit ribosomal RNA", at positions 521 to 776 of the family's 1533-position model. The record is from RNAcentral.
UAAUACGAAGGGGGCUAGCGUUGCUCGGAAUCACUGGGCGUAAAGCGCACGUAGGCGGAUCUUUAAGUCAGGGGUGAAAUCCCAAGGCUCAACCUUGGAACUGCCUUUGAUACUGGGGAUCUCGAGUCCGGAAGAGGUUGGUGGAACUCCGAGUGUAGAGGUGAAAUUCGUAGAUAUUCGGAAGAACACCAGUGGCGAAGGCGGCCAACUGGUCCGGCACUGACGCUGAGGUGCGAAAGCGUGGGGAGCAGACAGG